RNAcentral lists this ribosomal RNA (545 nucleotides) under uncultured Ascomycota. RNAcentral describes it as "SSU rRNA". It matches the Rfam family "Eukaryotic small subunit ribosomal RNA", at positions 548 to 1098 of the family's 1831-position model. Lineage: Eukaryota; Fungi; Ascomycota. The record is from RNAcentral.
UUGGAGGGCAAGUCUGGUGCCAGCAGCCGCGGUAAUUCCAGCUCCAAUAGCGUAUAUUAAAGUUGUUGCAGUUAAAAAGCUCGUAGUUGAACCUUGGGCCUGGCUGGCCGGUCCGCCUCACCGCGUGCACUCGUCCGGCCGGGCCUUCCUUCUGAAGAACCUCAUGCCCUUCACUGGGCGUGUUGGGGAAUCAGGACUUUUACUUUGAAAAAAUUAGAGUGUUCAAAGCAGGCCUUUGCUCGAAUACGUUAGCAUGGAAUAAUAAAAUAGGGCGUGCGUUUCUAUUUUGUUGGUUUCUAGAAGCGCCGCAAUGAUUAACAGGAACAGUCGGGGGCAUCAGUAUUCAGUUGUCAGAGGUGAAAUUCUUGGAUUUACUGAAGACUAACUACUGCGAAAGCAUUUGCCAAGGAUGUUUUCAUUAAUCAGUGAACGAAAGUUAGGGGAUCGAAGACGAUCAGAUACCGUCGUAGUCUUAACCAUAAACUAUGCCGACUAGGGAUCGGACGGUGGUUUUUUUAUGCCCCGUUCGGCGCCUUACGGGAAAC